This is a long non-coding RNA of Denticeps clupeoides (denticle herring), 417 nucleotides long. Lineage: Eukaryota; Metazoa; Chordata; Actinopteri; Clupeiformes; Denticipitidae. The record is from Ensembl.
AGAGUUUAUCCAACUUCACUUAGCAUUUUAGGAUGAGCAUUCAAACUUCAGGACAAUGGGAGACAAUAAUAUAAAAAUAUAUAAAAUGAAGUGGAGGUGCGCUCUAUAGAGGCUCUUGUAGAUAGAGAGUGAAGGAGCCACUCUGAUGACCACCAUUGAGGAACCGCAGACAAGAACAGGCUAAAGUGGGCUAAUCUUGUGUUUAGGCUCGUCCAUGCCAGGCAAGGGAAAGGUAAAUGGGUGCAGACCUAGUCACUCUGGACCAUCUGCAGUGGAGUGUUGAAGUAAUGGAGAGAAAUCCACAGCCUGUCCCAGGAACUGGGUGGCAUAUUGAGAGAGAUGCCACAUGGAGGAAGCCGCUGCAUGGUAAGUGACAUUCUGUCAUCUGCUCAGGUACUAUUAAAAAUGCGCAACCAC